GCGCACCAUCCCUCCUGGCGGCCCCGCCUGUGACCGUGGCCCGGAAUGCCGGCCACGCACCAUCCCUCCUGGCGGCCCCGGGAAGCACAGACGUGCCGGCACGCUCAGCACAGGCACAGCCGUUUCUCUUCUCUGAACAAGUCACCCCCGGGGCUCGGAUGGACACGGGCAGCUCCCGGGACCCGGGGAGGACCCAGGGAGCAUCUGCCCCUGGAGCGAUGGCCCCACAGGCUGGAAGGCGAGGCGAUCUGAGAGCAUCGCGUGGAGCCCGUGCCCGGGAUCGAGGACGGCCUCGCCCGCGGGGAAACCAGCCUCCCGUCUCCGCAGCCCUGCUCGGACGGGUCUCCCAGGAGGAAGUCGCCAAAGGGAACGGGCUGACGAGGGUCCCGAGUACCCCACCUCGGGCUGGGCAGGCGGCGCUGAGGGGCACAGAGGGGAACGGCCGAGGCCCCUCCCUCCGCCCGAGAGCCUGUGGCUUCCACGCGCGCCUCCCCCCGUGGGCACUGGAAACCCCAGAUCCUGGGCCUGAGGCCACGCCACCUGCGGAGGGACCAGCCGUGGUCACCUCGCCCGGGCUCACGUCCCUCCUUCAGCUCCUCCCUGGCCCGGAGGUGUCCUGGUUACACCCUACACUCAU
Long non-coding RNA from Eptesicus fuscus (big brown bat), 637 nucleotides. RefSeq lists it as uncharacterized. The transcript has 3 exons. The record is from RefSeq and is a predicted model, not a curated record. NCBI's taxonomy places the organism in Eukaryota, Metazoa, Chordata, Mammalia, Chiroptera, Vespertilionidae.